GACGAACGCUGGCGGCGUGCUUAACACAUGCAAGUCGAGCGGAAAGGCCCUUUCGGGGGUACUCGAGCGGCGAACGGGUGAGUAACACGUGAGUAAUCUGCCCUUCACUCUGGGAUAGCCCUCCGAAAGGGGGAUUAAUACCGGAUACGACCAUGGUACGCAUGUGCUUGUGGUGGAAAGGUUUUCUGGUGGGGGAUGUGCUCGCGGCCUAUCAGCUUGUUGGUGGGGUAAUGGCCUACCUAGGCUUCGACGGGUAGCCGGCCUGAGAGGGUGACCGGCCACACUGGGGACUGAGACACGGCCCAGACUCCUAC
This 314-nucleotide ribosomal RNA is filed under the name uncultured bacterium. Its description in RNAcentral is "bacterial SSU rRNA". It matches the Rfam family "Bacterial small subunit ribosomal RNA", at positions 28 to 342 of the family's 1533-position model. The record is from RNAcentral.